Molecule: small nuclear RNA, 72 nt
Organism: Malaclemys terrapin pileata
Lineage: Eukaryota; Metazoa; Chordata; Testudines; Emydidae
Product: U7 small nuclear RNA
Exons: 1
Source: RefSeq, a predicted model, not a curated record
GAGUGAUUUCAGCUCUUCCAGUAUUUAUCUAGCAGGUUUUCACUUCCCCAGGCAGCCUUAUUGAGAGCCAAU